This 820-nucleotide non-coding RNA is filed under the name Pongo abelii (Sumatran orangutan). The record is from RNAcentral. Lineage: Eukaryota; Metazoa; Chordata; Mammalia; Primates; Hominidae.
AAUUAUGGGUGUGGUUGAUGCAAGAAAGACAAUGCAGAGCUUCAACCAGGGGACCCAUACUAGAAAUGAAGACAGUGGGUCUCCAUCAAAAUAUUGAUGAGUGAAUACAAAUAUACAUGUUUUUAAGAGACGGGGUUUCACCAUGUUAGCCAGGUUGGUCUCCAUCUCCUGACCUCAUGAUCCACCUGCUUCGGCCUCCCAAAGUGCUGGUGUUACAGGCAUGAGCCACUGCAUCCGGCCAUCUCGGGAGACAUCAGUUGUGUUUCUGGAACAGCAGCACCCCAAACAGUGCUUGUACAGGCCAUAUUGCCAAUCUGUACCUGCAAGGAACAAGGAGUAUAUUGUGUAGCUCAUCAAGGGAAAAGGACAUUAUAUGUAAAACAAGUACAAGAAGACUCUGAAAGUUGGAGAAAAAAAGUUAGACCAUCUGGAGACCUUGGGAUCUGAGGAACUACAUACCAUGUCAGUGGAAACCACAUGGGGACAUGGAAGCAAUGACAAGACACCUCUACCCUCUCUCAGCAGUAAGAGGAGCCCCUCCCCAUCCCAGGUGUCAACAGAGGCUGAGUGGGAACCUGGAAUUCUACACCCACCUGGUAGUAACAAAGGGCAGGCUCCACCCCUUUCUUUGCCAGAGUGGUGUUGGAGGAAGCCAACAAAAACAACAGGUCUAAAUAAGACUGAGCAUCUCAUAAUGUAAUAUCCAAAAUGUCUAGGUUUCCAUCGAAAAUCAUAUCAAGAGCCAGGAAAAUCUCAACUUGAAUGGAAAAAGACAAUCAAUAGAUGCCAGCAUCAAAAUGACAGAGAUGGCAGAAUUAUC